RNAcentral lists this ribosomal RNA (730 nucleotides) under Chromohalobacter israelensis. Its description in RNAcentral is "bacterial SSU rRNA". It matches the Rfam family "Bacterial small subunit ribosomal RNA", at positions 398 to 1120 of the family's 1533-position model. Lineage: Bacteria; Pseudomonadati; Pseudomonadota; Gammaproteobacteria; Oceanospirillales; Halomonadaceae. The record is from RNAcentral.
CGCGUGUGUGAAGAAGGCUUUCGGGUUGUAAAGCACUUUCAGUGGGGAAGAAGGCUUGUCGGCCAAUACCCGGCAAGAGCGACAUCACCCACAGAAGAAGCACCGGCUAACUCCGUGCCAGCAGCCGCGGUAAUACGGAGGGUGCAAGCGUUAAUCGGAAUUACUGGGCGUAAAGCGCGCGUAGGCGGCUUGUCACGCCGGGUGUGAAAGCCCCGGGCUCAACCUGGGAACGGCAUCCGGAACGGGCAGGCUAGAGUGCAGGAGAGGAAGGUAGAAUUCCCGGUGUAGCGGUGAAAUGCGUAGAGAUCGGGAGGAAUACCAGUGGCGAAGGCGGCCUUCUGGACUGACACUGACGCUGAGGUGCGAAAGCGUGGGUAGCAAACAGGAUUAGAUACCCUGGUAGUCCACGCCGUAAACGAUGUCGACUAGCCGUUGGGUCCCUUGAGGACUUAGUGGCGCAGUUAACGCGAUAAGUCGACCGCCUGGGGAGUACGGCCGCAAGGUUAAAACUCAAAUGAAUUGACGGGGGCCCGCACAAGCGGUGGAGCAUGUGGUUUAAUUCGAUGCAACGCGAAGAACCUUACCUACCCUUGACAUCCUGCGAACCCGGAAGAGAUUCCGGGGUGCCUUCGGGAGCGCAGAGACAGGUGCUGCAUGGCUGUCGUCAGCUCGUGUUGUGAAAUGUUGGGUUAAGUCCCGUAACGAGCGCAACCCUUGUCCCUAUUUGCCA